This 78-nucleotide microRNA precursor is filed under the name Loxodonta africana (African savanna elephant). Its description in RNAcentral is "miRNA (ENSLAFG00000025375.2)". The record is from RNAcentral. Lineage: Eukaryota; Metazoa; Chordata; Mammalia; Proboscidea; Elephantidae.
GUGUGUGUGUGUGUGCAUGUAAGCCUGUGUACUUGUGCAUGCACACACACACACACACACACACACACACACACACAC